CGCCAUGGGAAAAAACCCUGUCCGUCUCUGACACGGGGCCUCUGGUUUCGGAUCGGAUUAGGUUUCUCGAACAAACCCCAAUCGAUUGUGGCGAGUUGCGCCAUGGCGACGAUCGCGUUCCGACUCCUCUCUCGCCGGACUCUCACCAGCGCCAUAGGCAAGGCCGCCGAGCACCUUCCUCAGGGUCGUUGGUCGUGGCGGUCCUAUCUGA
This is a long non-coding RNA of Triticum dicoccoides, 211 nucleotides long. RefSeq lists it as uncharacterized. Lineage: Eukaryota; Viridiplantae; Streptophyta; Magnoliopsida; Poales; Poaceae. The record is from RefSeq and is a predicted model, not a curated record. The transcript is spliced from 3 exons.